RNAcentral lists this long non-coding RNA (232 nucleotides) under Capsella rubella. Its description in RNAcentral is "long non-coding RNA (CRUB_LNC004273)". Lineage: Eukaryota; Viridiplantae; Streptophyta; Magnoliopsida; Brassicales; Brassicaceae. The record is from RNAcentral.
UUAAUUGAUGUUAAUAAUUAUGAAUGUUUAUUUGACUAUUUUAUUUUUGGUCACAUGCUAUUUUUGGUUUUUUUAUUUUAUUUCAAAGAAAUAUAUGUAUAUCUCAUUUCUAAUCAAUAUAUCUCAAAAAAAAAUUGUUUUGCUAUAUUUGCGAGAUUGUUUUUCAGUAUGAAGAUUUUUAAUGUGAAAAAUAUUGUAUGUGAUAUAAAAUAUUUAUUCUGUUGGUUUUUGA